UACGUAGGGUGCAAGCGUUACUCGGAAUUACUGGGCGUAAAGCGUGCGCAGGCGGUUUUUUAAGACAGAUGUGAAAUCCCCGGGCUCAACCUGGGAACUGCAUUUGUGACUGUAGAGCUGGAGUACGGUAGAGGGGGAUGGAAUUCCGCGUGUAGCAGUGAAAUGCGUAGAUAUGCGGAGGAACACCGAUGGCGAAGGCAGUCCCCUGGGCCUGCACUGACGCUCAUGCACGAAAGCGUGGGGAGCAAACAGG
Molecule: ribosomal RNA, 253 nt
Filed under: uncultured bacterium
Lineage: Bacteria
Description: partial 16S ribosomal RNA
Rfam family: Bacterial small subunit ribosomal RNA
Source: RNAcentral